Molecule: non-coding RNA, 1014 nt
Organism: Peromyscus californicus insignis
Lineage: Eukaryota; Metazoa; Chordata; Mammalia; Rodentia; Cricetidae
Source: the annotation of a RefSeq genome assembly
AUGUCUGAUAAGCUCACAUAUCCUGUCUCUCUUGCAGCCAGAACAACAGCCCCAUCUGUCUAUCCCUUGGUCCCUGGCUGUGGUGGCACGUCUGGAUCCAUGGUAACCCUAGGAUGCCUGGCCAAAGGCUAUUUCCCUGAGCCGGUGACCAUAACCUGGAACUCUGGAUCCCUGUACAGCAGCAUGCACAACUUUCCAUCUGUCCUGCAUUCUGGGUUCUACUCCCGCAGCAGCUUGGUGACUGUGUCCUCCAGCACCUGGCCCAGCCAGACCAUCACCUGCGACGUGGUCCACCCGGCCAGCAGCACCAAUUUGAGGAAGACAGUUGAACCCAGAAAGCCUCCAGUUACCCUGUGCCCACCUUCUUGCGUUGGAGGUGGACCAUCUGUCUUCAUCUUCCCUCCAAAACCCAAAGAGACACUCAUGAUCUCCCUGACCCCCAAGAGCACGUGUGUGGUGGUGGAUGUGAGUGAGGAUGAUCCAGAUGUCCAGUUCAGAUGGUUUGUGAACAAUAAAGAAGUGCACACAGCUGAGACACAGACCCGUGAGGAGCAGUACAACAGUACCUUGCGUGUGGUCAGUGUCCUCCCCAUCCAGCACCAGGAAUGGCUGAGGGGCAUGGAGUUCAAAUGCAAGGUCAACAACAAAGCCCUCCCAGGCCCCAUUGAGAGAACCAUCUCAAAACCCAAAGGGCAAGCCCGGGUGCCUCAAGUGUAUGCCAUGCCUCCACCUCGAGAGCAAAUGUCCAAGAAGAAGGUCAGUCUGACCUGCAUGAUCACUGACUUCUUCUCCGAAGCCAUCAGUGUGGAGUGGGAAAGAAACGGAGAGCUGGAGCAGAGCUACAAGAACACCCCACCCAUUCUGGACUCAGAUGGGUCCUACUUCCUGUACAGCAAGCUCACUGUGGACACAAACAGUUGGUUGCGAGGAGACACGUUUACCUGCUCCGUGGUGCACGAGGCUCUGCACAACCACCACACACAGAAGACCCUCUCCCACUCCCUGGGUAAAUGA